RNAcentral lists this ribosomal RNA (497 nucleotides) under uncultured bacterium. RNAcentral's name for it is "partial 16S ribosomal RNA". It matches the Rfam family "Bacterial small subunit ribosomal RNA", at positions 28 to 507 of the family's 1533-position model. The record is from RNAcentral.
GAUGAACGCUGGCGGCGUGCCUAAUACAUGCAAGUCGAGCGAACAGACGAGGAGCUUGCUCCUCUGAUGUUAGCGGCGGACGGGUGAGUAACACGUGGAUAACCUACCUAUAAGACUGGGAUAACUUCGGGAAACCGGAGCUAAUACCGGAUAACAUGUUGAACCGCAUGGUUCAACAGUGAAAGACGGUUUUGCUGUCACUUAUAGAUGGAUCCGCGCCGCAUUAGCUAGUUGGUAAGGUAACGGCUUACCAAGGCAACGAUGCGUAGCCGACCUGAGAGGGUGAUCGGCCACACUGGAACUGAGACACGGUCCAGACUCCUACGGGAGGCAGCAGUAGGGAAUCUUCCGCAAUGGGCGAAAGCCUGACGGAGCAACGCCGCGUGAGUGAAGAAGGUCUUCGGAUCGUAAAACUCUGUUAUUAGGGAAGAACAAAUGUGUAAGUAAUUAUGCACGUCUUGACGGUACCUAAUCAGAAAGCCACGGCUAACUACGUG